RNAcentral lists this ribosomal RNA (462 nucleotides) under uncultured bacterium. RNAcentral's name for it is "partial 16S ribosomal RNA". It matches the Rfam family "Bacterial small subunit ribosomal RNA", at positions 28 to 507 of the family's 1533-position model. The record is from RNAcentral.
GACGAACGCUGGCGGCGUGCUUAACACAUGCCAGUCGAGCGGAAAGGCCCUUCGUGGUACUCGAGCUGCGAACGGGUGAGUAACACGUGAGUAACCUGCCCCAGACUUUGGGAUAAGCCUCAGUAACGGGGACUAGUACCGAAAACGACACAGCUUCGCAGCUGGACGGUGUGGGAAGUUGUGCGGUUUGGGAUGGGCUCGCGGCCUAUCAGCUUGUUGGUGGGGUGAUGGCCUACCAAGGCGACGACGGGUAGCCGGCCUGAGAGGGCGACCGGCCACACUGGGACUGAGACACGGCCCAGACUCCUACGGGAGGCAGCAGUGGGGAAUAUUGCACAAUGGGCGGAAGCCUGAUGCAGCGACGCCGCGUGAGGGAUGACGGCCUUCGGGUUGUAAACCUCUUUCAGCAGGGACGAAGCGUAAGUGACGGUAAUUGGAGAAGAAGCGCCGGCUAACUACGUG